This 440-nucleotide ribosomal RNA is filed under the name Centipeda infelix. RNAcentral's name for it is "bacterial SSU rRNA". It matches the Rfam family "Bacterial small subunit ribosomal RNA", at positions 28 to 447 of the family's 1533-position model. The record is from RNAcentral. Lineage: Bacteria; Bacillati; Bacillota; Negativicutes; Selenomonadales; Selenomonadaceae.
GACGAACGCUGGCGGCGUGCUUAACACAUGCAAGUCGAACGGAGCGAAUGAAAGCUUGCUUUUAUGAGCUUAGUGGCAAACGGGUGAGUAACACGUAGACAACCUGCCGACAGGAUGGGGACAACAUUCCGAAAGGAAUGCUAAUACCGAAUGAAGCGGAGGAGAGGCAUCUCUCUUCCGUGAAAGAUGGCCUCUAUUUAUAAGCUAUCACCUGUUGAUGGGUCUGCGUCUGAUUAGCUGGUUGGUGAGGUAACGGCUCACCAAGGCGACGAUCAGUAGCCGGUCUGAGAGGAUGAACGGCCACAUUGGGACUGAGACACGGCCCAGACUCCUACGGGAGGCAGCAGUGGGGAAUCUUCCGCAAUGGGCGCAAGCCUGACGGAGCAACGCCGCGUGAGUGAAGAAGGUCUUCGGAUCGUAAAGCUCUGUUGACGGGGACG